RNAcentral lists this non-coding RNA (25 nucleotides) under Rattus norvegicus (Norway rat). Lineage: Eukaryota; Metazoa; Chordata; Mammalia; Rodentia; Muridae. The record is from RNAcentral.
UACUGUGAGGUAAACGGUGGCUCCU